GGACGGGGCCGGGAUCCGAUUAAGUUUGAUCCUGGCUCAGAACGAACGCUGGUAGCGUGGAUUAGGCAUGCAAGUCGAACGGGAUCCGGCGGAUAGCAAUAUUCGCCGGUGAGAGUGGCGGAUUGGGGAGGAACACGUGAGCAACCUGCCCUGGAGAUGGGGAAAACCGUUGGAAACGACGGCUAAUACCGAAUGUGGCGCCCCGCGGCAUCGCGGGAGCGCUGAAGGGGGCCGCCCGCCCCCGUUCCGGGAUGGGCUCGCGCACCAUUUUUCUUGUUGGCGGGGUAACGGCCCACCAAGGCUCACGGUUAGCUGGUCCCGAGAGGAUGACCAGCCCCACUGGGACUGAGAUACUGCCCAGACCCCUACGGGAGGCUGCAGUCGAGGAUCAUUCGCAAUGGGCGAAAGCCUGACGAUGCGACGCUGCGUGGAGGAUGAAGGCCUUCGGGUCGUAAACUCCUGUCAUAUGGAAAAGGCGAGGGUACCCAACACGUACCUUAGUUGAUUGUACUUUAGAGGAAGGACGGCUAACUCUGUGCCAGCAGCGCGUAUAAGAGGUCCUAGCGUGUCGGAUUACUGGGCGUAAGGCGCGUAGCGGGCGAGGCGAGUAAUGUGAUCUCCGGGCUCACCCGGAAGUGGCCUCUUAACUGUCUCUCUCGACACGUCAAGAAAGAAAUAUAUGGUGGUGUAGACCGGUAUACGUUAUCACCAUGC
Molecule: ribosomal RNA, 714 nt
Filed under: uncultured bacterium
Lineage: Bacteria
Description: partial 16S ribosomal RNA
Rfam family: Bacterial small subunit ribosomal RNA
Source: RNAcentral